This 708-nucleotide ribosomal RNA is filed under the name uncultured bacterium. RNAcentral describes it as "bacterial SSU rRNA". It matches the Rfam family "Bacterial small subunit ribosomal RNA", at positions 83 to 787 of the family's 1533-position model. The record is from RNAcentral.
CUUCUCUUGAGAGCGGCGGACGGGUGAGUAAUGCCUAGGAAUCUGCCUGGUAGUGGGGGAUAACGUUCGGAAACGGACGCUAAUACCGCAUACGUCCUACGGGAGAAAGCAGGGGACCUUCGGGCCUUGCGCUAUCAGAUGAGCCUAGGUCGGAUUAGCUAGUUGGUGAGGUAAUGGCUCACCAAGGCGACGAUCCGUAACUGGUCUGAGAGGAUGAUCAGUCACACUGGAACUGAGACACGGUCCAGACUCCUACGGGAGGCAGCAGUGGGGGAUAUUGGACAAUGGGCGAAAGCCUGAUCCAGCCAUGCCGCGUGUGUGAAGAAGGUCUUCGGAUUGUAAAGCACUUUAAGUUGGGAGGAAGGGCAGUAAAUUAAUACUUUGCUGUUUUGACGUUACCGACAGAAUAAGCACCGGCUAACUCUGUGCCAGCAGCCGCGGUAAUACAGAGGGUGCAAGCGUUAAUCGGAAUUACUGGGCGUAAAGCGCGCGUAGGUGGUUUGUUAAGUUGGAUGUGAAAUCCCCGGGCUCAACCUGGGAACUGCAUUCAAAACUGACUGACUAGAGUAUGGUAGAGGGUGGUGGAAUUUCCUGUGUAGCGGUGAAAUGCGUAGAUAUAGGAAGGAACACCAGUGGCGAAGGCGACCACCUGGACUAAUACUGACACUGAGGUGCGAAAGCGUGGGGAGCAAACAGGAUUAGAUACCC